This 498-nucleotide ribosomal RNA is filed under the name uncultured bacterium. RNAcentral describes it as "partial 16S ribosomal RNA". It matches the Rfam family "Bacterial small subunit ribosomal RNA", at positions 28 to 523 of the family's 1533-position model. The record is from RNAcentral.
GAUGAACGCUAGCGGCAGGCCUAAUACAUGCAAGUCGGACGGGAUUGAGAAGCUUGCUUUUCAUGAGAGUGGCGCACGGGUGCGUAACACGUAUGUAACCUACCUUAAUCAGGGGGAUAGCCUCUCGAAAGAGAGAUUAACACCGCAUAAAAUCAAUUUAUGGCAUCAUAGAAUGAUCAAAUAUUUAUAGGAUUAAGAUGGGCAUGCGGAACAUUAGCUAGUUGGUAAGGUAACGGCUUACCAAGGCUACGAUGUUGAGGGGAUCUGAGAGGAUGACCACCCACACUGGUACUGAGACACGGACCAGACUCCUACGGGAGGCAGCAGUAAGGAAUAUUGGUCAAUGGGCGCAAGCCUGAACCAGCCAUGCCGCGUGCAGGAAGACGGCCCUACGGGUUGUAAACUGCUUUUGUACCGGAAUAAACCUUUGUAUGUAUACGAAGCUGAAUGUACGGUAAGAAUAAGGAUCGGCUAACUCCGUGCCAGCCGCCGCGGUAA